GAGUUUGAUCAUGGCUCAGGAUGAACGCUAGCGGCAGGCUUAACACAUGCAAGUCGAGGGGUAACAGGGUAGCAAUAUCGCUGACGACCGGCGCACGGGUGAGUAACGCGUAUGCAACCUUCCUUUAACUGGGGGAUAGCCCGGAGAAAUUCGGAUUAAUACCCCAUAACAUCAUGAGAAGGCAUCUUUUUAUGAUUAAAGCUCCGGCGGUUAAAGAUGGGCAUGCGUGCCAUUAGCUUGUUGGUGAGGUAACGGCUCACCAAGGCUACGAUGGUUAGGGGGUCUGAGAGGAUGAUCCCCCACACUGGUACUGAGACACGGACCAGACUCCUACGGGAGGCAGCAGUGAGGAAUAUUGGGCAAUGGGCGCAAGCCUGACCCAGCCAUGCCGCGUGAAGGAUGAAUGCCCUAUGGGUUGUAAACUUCUUUUGUACGAGACGAAACUCCUGGCCGUGACCGGGAUUGACUGUACCGUGCGAAUAAGCAUCGGCUAACUCCGUGCCAGCAGCCGCGGUAAUACGGAGGAUGCAAGCGUUAUCCGGAUUCAUUGGGUUUAAAGGG
Molecule: ribosomal RNA, 561 nt
Filed under: uncultured bacterium
Lineage: Bacteria
Description: bacterial SSU rRNA
Rfam family: Bacterial small subunit ribosomal RNA
Source: RNAcentral